GCGUAAAGCGCACGCAGGCGGUCUGUCAAGUCGGAUGUGAAAUCCCCGGGCUCAACCUGGGAACUGCAUUCGAAACUGGCAGGCUAGAGUCUUGUAGAGGGGGGUAGAAUUCCAGGUGUAGCGGUGAAAUGCGUAGAGAUCUGGAGGAAUACCGGUGGCGAAGGCGGCCCCCUGGACAAAGACUGACGCUCAGGUGCGAAAGCGUGGGGAGCAAACAGGAUUAGAUACCCUGGUAGUCCACGCCGUAAACGAUGUCGAUUUGGAGGUUGUGCCCUUGAGGCGUGGCUUCCGGAGCUAACGCGUUAAAUCGACCGCCUGGGGAGUACGGCCGCAAGGUUAAAACUCAAAUGAAUUGACGGGGGCCCGCACAAGCGGUGGAGCAUGUGGUUUAAUUCGAUGCAACGCGAAGAACCUUACCUGGUCUUGACAUCCACAGAACUUUCCAGAGAUGGAUUGGUGCCUUCGGGAACUGUGAGACAGGUGCUGCAUGGCUGUCGUCAGCUCGUGUUGUGAAAUGUUGGGUUAAGUCCCGCAACGAGCGCAACCCUUAUCCUUUGUUGCCAGCGGUUAGGCCGGGAACUCAAAGGAGACUGCCAGUGAUAAACUGGAG
RNAcentral lists this ribosomal RNA (610 nucleotides) under Enterobacter cloacae. Its description in RNAcentral is "bacterial SSU rRNA". It matches the Rfam family "Bacterial small subunit ribosomal RNA", at positions 558 to 1168 of the family's 1533-position model. The record is from RNAcentral. Lineage: Bacteria; Pseudomonadati; Pseudomonadota; Gammaproteobacteria; Enterobacterales; Enterobacteriaceae.